AUUUGGAGGUGUUUGUCAUGAUAUAUUUGCAUUUAUGCACAAAUAACUCAAUUAUCAUUUGUUUCUCCAGGCAAACAUAUUCCUGGAAAGAGCAAGAAGAAAUUACAACAAUGAGAAGGCAUGUGGUUGAAUGUCCCACCUCUAGAGUGACCACUUCCUGUUCCGCUUCAUCUCGGACAGCAGCAUGGAGGUAUUUAGUCAUCCGAGACGAGGGCUGUCUGUUUUCCUGCGGUUGCUUCACCCGAUUCCCCUCCACUGCACACCAGAUGUAACCAAAGCAGAGGACAAAACAAGUGCAUUAUUUUUUCAGAGGCAUGUCUAGUAUGAGACAGUGAUGCGCGCUGACAGGGCCUGCUAAUUGGAGUAAAUUAAUUUACCUCGGGCGCCAUGUUCUCACAAAGUGCCGCGCUCCAUGUGAAUAAGUGAUGAUCGGCAGGGCUCGUAUAAGCCCCGAGUUUUUAAAUCAUUUAGCAGCGCAUUCUGCUAAUUAGCACAGAGAAAGUCGGCUUUCAGCUACAAUUAAGACGGGCCUCUGUCAGUCAGGGGACUGCAGCCGGGAAGAAGCACUGAUUUAUUCAUCCUGCAAGCAGAUGCUGAGUGCAUUGGGGGUUUGGAUGGAGGGACUUGGAGAUGAAGCAAGCAAGGGGAUCUGAGAGAUGAAGGCAGUGAGGGAGAGGACUGCAGUAUGUGUGUGGGUUGCUAUUAGUGUGCUGGUGCAGAAAUUUUGUUUUAAUUUUUUUCUUCUCUGCAAGAAAAGGCACAAACAAAGCAAUGAGACGAGCUGGUGGAGUACAGUAAGUGAGGUUGUGUGUGUAACUUGUGAUUGGUCACCUAUGGGCUUUACUUCCCAUGCUUAGUUGACAAGACUCUUUCCAGGACUGUUGCAAGGUCAUUCCUGUUACGUUUGAGGUUGCGGUUAUAAUUUAAAGGGACAGUUCACCCAAAAAUGAAAAUUCUGUCAUUUACUUACCCUCAUGUCAUUCCAAACCUCUAAGACAUUCGUUCAACUUCUGAACACAAAUGAAGACACUUUUAAUGAAAUAUGAGAGAUUUCUGUCCCUCCACUGACAGACUAUCACUUUUUGAUGCUUCAGAAAUUUCUUAAAAAGAUUGUAAAACUAAUCCAUAUGAAUUUAGUGGUUUAGUCCAAAUUUUCUGAUUACUUUAUAUGAUGAACAGAUUUAAUUUAGGCUUUUAUUCACAUAUAAACAUUAAUCAGUGCACACAGUUGUGGCAAAUAGAAGCUCAAGCAUACUUGCUUGAAGUGUGAGAACCAAUGAGGUUCAUUCUUGUGUGUUAGGAAGCACAUUUGGGCUUCCCUAAGAAUCAUUAAGCAAGUUUGGUUGAGCUUCUGUUUGUGUUUGCUGAUCAAUGUAAAUAAAAGCUUAAAUUAAAUCUUAUGAAUCA
Cyprinus carpio (common carp) is the source of this 1407-nucleotide long non-coding RNA. The record is from Ensembl. NCBI's taxonomy places the organism in Eukaryota, Metazoa, Chordata, Actinopteri, Cypriniformes, Cyprinidae.